RNAcentral lists this ribosomal RNA (426 nucleotides) under uncultured bacterium. RNAcentral's name for it is "bacterial SSU rRNA". It matches the Rfam family "Bacterial small subunit ribosomal RNA", at positions 358 to 776 of the family's 1533-position model. The record is from RNAcentral.
GGAAUCUUCGGCAAUGGGCGAAAGCCUGACCGAGCAACGCCGCGUGAAUGAAGAAGGCCUUCGGGUUGUAAAAUUCUGUUAUAAGGGAAGAAAGGUGAUAGGAGGAAAUGACUAUCAAUUGACGGUACCUUAUGAGAAAGCCACGGCUACCUACGUGCCAGCAGCCGCGGUAAUACGUAGGGGGCAAGCGUUAUCCGGAUUUACUGGGUGUAAAGGGUGCGUAGACGGGAAAUUAAGUUAGUUGUGAAAUCCCUCGGCUUAACUGAGGAACUGCAACUAAAACUGAUUUUCUUGAGUACUGGAGAGGAAAGUGGAAUUCCUAGUGUAGCGGUGAAAUGCGUAGAUAUUAGGAGGAACACCAGUGGCGAAGGCGACUUUCUGGACAGUAACUGACGUUGAGGCACGAAAGUGUGGGGAGCAAACAGG